Molecule: long non-coding RNA, 3502 nt
Filed under: Sus scrofa (pig)
Lineage: Eukaryota; Metazoa; Chordata; Mammalia; Artiodactyla; Suidae
Description: lncRNA (ENSSSCG00040076213.1)
Source: RNAcentral
UUCCUGUCAUGUUGUAGGUACUCAGUAAGAUGUUUGCAAUCACUGCUAUAGUUUUUAAUCAGCAGCCAGUAUGGUGCCUGCCCAUAGUACGUUUGUGUACUUUUUUGUUCAGUGAAUGAAUACUUCCCACCUAUACUAAGGAUUCUGGAACACUUCAUUUCCCUUUUGUGGAGCAGAACAUUAAAUUAGGAACAAUACUAUGACAAAAGUGGGAAGAAAAAUAUUAAUGUAGCAAAAAUUAAAAUAUUUUAGUUGCUAUGUAAUGCCUCAAAAUUGACCCUGAAUGAAAUGAACGAUGAAGAAUGUAGAACCACAGCAGAGUAUAUGUAGGUGACUUAAGGAAAUAACCUUUCCUAGGAACAUAAAGACAUAUUGGAUUCUUGUAUAAAUUUCUUCAUAGAAUCCAGUGUACUUUACACUAUCCAUUUUUCAUAUAGCUUUUCAUUUGCGUUAUAAGGAAAUCUCAGACAUAAACAUAAUUGGAGUGAUAAAAGAACAUAUCUAUAAAUGUUGCCCAGCCAGGAAUAUCUGAGCAGUGGUACUUUAUACAGGACACCAAGACUUUAUUAUUAUUAUUAUUAUUAUUAUUUUGUCUUUUUGGGGCUGUACCUCUGUAGCUCUGAUUCGACCCCUAGCCUGGAAACUUCCAUAUGCCUCGGGUGUGGCCCUAAAAAGCAAAAUAACUAAAUAAAUACAUAAAUAAAUAACCAUUCUUCUGUCUACAAACAAGUUGCUUAGUCAUUUAACAAGUAUUCAUUGAGUACCUACUGUGUGUCAGGGGCUGUGCCAGGUACUGGAAUUACAAUAUAGAGAAGAUAGACUUUUUUUUUUUAACUUUAUCAUAGGGGAAGACAAUUUAGGAAGAAUUAUCUGGUGUUUGUUGUUCUCCUUUCUUAACUGAAAAGCAUUGCUAUUAACUGCUUAAUAAACACUUUGUGGAAAGAGUAAUGGUAGUGAUUAUCACCUGAAGGAAAUGACUUAUGAAAACAAUUAUGUGACAGUUUUGGAGAAAACAGUGAGACUAUGAGAAUAGAUUAUUUUGAUUCACAAGUGUAACUUUUUUCAUCUGUAUGACCAAAGCUAUUUGUGUCCGGUAUAUAUGGUAAUAAUAAGCAUUCUCUAUGACAUCUUGUAGCCUGUAGCUUUUCUUGCAGGAAACUGGAAACAUGUCAGGAUGCCUUUCUGAACUCUGGCCUUGCUCCUAACUGGAGCCAUUGCACCAGGCUCUGAGAGGCAUUAGCACCAUACCAUUCAGAGGUGAGAAAAUCAAGAACUGUAGAGAAGUUUGGAGGAAGAGCAAGUACAUGGACUUCACAGUGAUGGUUGCAAUCAACGUAAGAAACAGAAGAAUAGAAAUGUGGCCUUGGGGGUAUACCCAGUAAUUUCUCCAAUUCUUCAGAUGUCAGCAGAUCUAUUGCAGAUUUUGCAUUUAACAUGUCAGUCUGAUGGGUGUCUGUGACUGACAGAAGUGACUAGGGGUGUGGGGAGUGGCAAGUUACUCGCAGGAGCCAUGAAAACAGUGUAUAAAGUUGGAAUUGGGAGCACUAAGCCUGAAACUCUGUUUUUAUCAUUUUUAGUUCUAUGACUUUCAGCAAGUGUUUUAAAGUUCCCGAGGCUCCAUUUCUUCUGUGUAAGAUGGAGAUAAUAACCAUCUUAAAAGCUUUUAAAGUAGGGCUAAAUGAGUUAAUGACUUGGAAAAGGCCUUGCUUAGUGACUCAGUCCUCAACACUUUGAGAUUGUUUGAGUAAAGGUAGAUAGGAUUUUCUAGGCUGUGGUGAUUUUUACAUUAUGCUUUUUAGUAUAUAGUUGUCUAGCUCACAUUUAGUGAGCACUUAAUUUGUUUCAUGCAUUGUUUUGUGAGUUUCAUCUUAUGACUUGUUGACUCCUCAAUGACUAUGUGAGGUAGAUCUUUUACUUUCCUUUCACAAGUGAGAACUCUGGGGUCGAGUUUCGUGACAGAGCCCAAAUUUGAACCUGAACAUGUGGCUUGUCCCUGGAGCUUUCUUAACCCUGCUUCUAGAUGGUGAAGUCACUCUAUCCACAUUAGGGCAGAAGGAACAAAAGAAAAUACUAUGUAGUGAGGGGUAAUCUCUACAUACUAAAAAGAUAAACUCAUUUUAACUUAUUCACCCAUUUGGAAAAGGAUUGAAAUGACCAUUUGUCUUAUCUUUGAUUUGUACAUUGUUUCUUUCAAUUUUGAAUAAUUAAUUCUGAUACAGAGUAAAAGUUGUAGUGAUUUCCAAUCAAAUCUUUUCUCUUAAGCUAAGCAGUCUUUCUCAUUUGUUGUUUCCUCUUAUUCUUUUGUGUUUUUGUAUGGGAUCCUGAAAUUGGAUGUGUUUAUUGUGUAGACCACAAAGGAUACCUAGGGAAGGUAAAGCAGCCUUAACGAGAGGAUUAAGCAAGUCAAGAGCCAUAUGUGAUAAUCCACCUCUUCAAAAAAUAGGCAUCCUGGCCUUUAUGAUUGGUUUAUGAUAGAAGACCUCCCUGUUUCACUCACACCAUGCUAAGUUAUGGUUUUCCUUACAAGCCUUAGAAUAUUUAUUUUCUUCUUCUUAGAAAAGCUGGGAUAUUUUUCUCAGGUUUGUUGAUAUCUGCUUGUAUCUGAGUAAAUGGACUCUAGAUCUUUCUGUGCUGAGAGUUUUCUGAGGAAAAUGGGUACAUGAACAAAGGACAGGUAUUUUGAUUUCCAUAAUAAAUUCUUUGUUGUAAUUUUCUAAAGAGAGGCAAAACUGUUUUUAUUUGGAAGUUCCCAGGCUAGAGGUCAGGUUCCCAGCCACAGCCACAGCCACACCAGAUCCCAGCCACAUUUGCAACUUAUGCUGCAGUUUGCCCCGGCAACACUGGAUCCUUAACCCAUUGAGCAAGGCCAGGAAUCGAACCCAGAUCCUCAUGGAUACUUGUCAGGUUCAUUACUCCUGAGCCACAACAGAAACUCCCAAAAUUGGUUUUGAAUUUUGGGUGCGUGCUUUGUGGAUUAUUUAGAUCAGAGAUUACGCGAUUUAUCAAUUAUCCUAAGAUUUGCAGGGCGAAUACUCCUUCACCCCCUGUUCCUUUAGCCUUCAUUCGUUUUUUGGUUCAAUGGAUUGAUUUUGUUUUUAGAUAUGACAGUGAGACUUAAUGAGAAGGAUAAUGUGGUGGAAUCAGAAGUGACUCCUCUUUCUCUUCUCUUAUUAUUACUGCUUUAUAAUAAUAAUAAUAAUAAUUGGCAGUGAUAGUAGCUGUAACAAAAAUAACUACAGUGUGGUGAUCAUGUUUUACGUGUCACCUGAAUUAUGUAAUAUAAUCAUUAUAUAGUUACCCACAGAAGUAAUAAGUGUAAGGGUUAAGUAGGUAUAUUAUAUCAUCAUUUAAAUGGUGAAGAAGUUGAGGUUAAAUACACUGAAUAAUUCUCCAGUCAGCUAGCAAGUAAGUGGCAGAGCUAAAAUCCAAACCCAUGACUGCCUCCUUCCUAUCUCAUAUUCUACUACUGCUAUUACCUCUUCAUUUGAAAAAAAAAAAAAAA